RNAcentral lists this transfer RNA (58 nucleotides) under Onisimus nanseni. RNAcentral describes it as "tRNA-Tyr". The record is from RNAcentral. Lineage: Eukaryota; Metazoa; Arthropoda; Malacostraca; Amphipoda; Lysianassidae.
AGUUUUAUGGUGUAACACAUAAUAAGUUGUAAACUUAGAGAAGCUUAGGCUAAGACUA